This 348-nucleotide unclassified non-coding RNA is filed under the name soil metagenome. Its description in RNAcentral is "partial contains 5.8S ribosomal RNA, internal transcribed spacer 2, and large subunit ribosomal RNA". The stretch from base 1 to 120 matches the Rfam family "5.8S ribosomal RNA", at positions 35 to 154 of the family's 154-position model. The record is from RNAcentral.
GAUGAAGAACGCAGCGAAAUGCGAUAAGUAAUGUGAAUUGCAGAAUUCAGUGAAUCAUCGAAUCUUUGAACGCACAUUGCGCCCGCCAGUAUUCUGGCGGGCAUGCCUGUCUGAGCGUCAUUUCAACCCUCAUGCCCCUAGGGCGUGGUGUUGGGGAUCGGCCAAAGCCCGCGAGGGACGGCCGGCCCCUAAAUCUAGUGGCGGACCCGUCGUGGCCUCCUCUGCGAAGUAGUGAUAUUCCGCAUCGGACAGCGAUGAGCCCCUGCCGUUAAACCCCCAACUUUCCAAGGUUGACCUCAGAUCAGGUAGGAAUACCCGCUGAACUUAAGCAUAUCAAUAAGCGGAGGA